CCGAGUUUUACAAACUCCCAAACCCCUGUGAAACAUACCACUUGUUGCCUCGGCGGAUCAGCCCGCUCCCGGUAAAACGGGACGGCCCGCCAGAGGACCCCUAAACUCUGUUUUCUAUAUGUAAACUUCUGAGUAAAAACCAUAAAUAAAUCAA
This 154-nucleotide unclassified non-coding RNA is filed under the name soil metagenome. Its description in RNAcentral is "partial internal transcribed spacer 1". The record is from RNAcentral.